UGAGUUUGAUCCUGGUUCAGGAUGAACGCUAGCGAUAGGCCUAACACAUGCAAGUCGAGGGGCAUCAUGGGGUAGCAAUACUCUGAUGGCGACCGGCGGAUGGGUGAGUAACACGUAUGCAACCUACCUACUACAUUGGGAUAACCCGUUGAAAGGCGGACUAAUACCUUAUAACACAGGGGCACCGCAUGGUGGUAUUUGUUAAAGAUUUUAUCGGUUGUAGAUGGGCAUGCGCAUGAUUAGCUAGUUGGAGAGGUAACGGCUCCCCAAGGCAACGAUCAUUAGGGGUUCUGAGAGGAAGGUCCCCCACACUGGUACUGAGACACGGUCCAGACUCCUACGGGAGGCAGCAGUGAGGAAUAUUGGUCAAUGGGCGAUAGCCUGAACCAGCCACGUCGCGUGCAGGAAGACUGUCUUAUGGAUUGUAAACUGCUUUUUCGGUAGAGUAAAAUACGUCACGUGUGAUGUAUUGCAAGUAUACCGUGAAUAAGGAUCGGCUAACUCCGUGCCAGCAGCCGCG
This 520-nucleotide ribosomal RNA is filed under the name uncultured Porphyromonadaceae bacterium. RNAcentral's name for it is "bacterial SSU rRNA". It matches the Rfam family "Bacterial small subunit ribosomal RNA", at positions 1 to 519 of the family's 1533-position model. The record is from RNAcentral. Lineage: Bacteria; Pseudomonadati; Bacteroidota; Bacteroidia; Bacteroidales; Porphyromonadaceae.